AGUAACGGCGAGUGAAGCGGCAACAGCUCAAAUUUGAAAUCUGGUCCCCUUGCGGGGCCCGAGUUGUAAUUUGAAGAGGAUGCUUCUGGCAAGGUGCCUUCCGAGUUCCCUGGAACGGGACGCCGCAGAGGGUGAGAGCCCCGUACGGUAGGACGCCGAGCCUCUGUGAAGCUCCUUCGACGAGUCGAGUAGUUUGGGAAUGCUGCUCAAAAUGGGAGGUAAACCCCUUCUAAAGCUAAAUACCGGCCAGAGACCGAUAGCGCACAAGUAGAGUGAUCGAAAGAUGAAAAGCACUUUGAAAAGAGAGUUAAAAAGCACGUGAAAUUGUUGAAAGGGAAGCGCUUGCGACCAGACUCGCGCCCGUCGGAUCAGCCGUCGCUUGUCGGCGGCGCACUCCGGCGGGCUCGGGCCAGCAUCAGUUCGCCUCGGGGGGAGAAAGGCGGCAGGAAUGUGGCUCCUCGGAGUGUUAUAGCCUGCCGUGUAAUACCCCCGGGCGGACUGAGGACCGCGCGUAUGCAAGGAUGCUGGCGUAAUGGUCGUCAGCGACCCGUCUUGAAACACGGACCAAGGAGUCGUCCUAAUAUGCGAGUGUACGGGUGUCAAACCCCUGCGCGUAAUGAAAGUGAACGGAGGUGAGAGCUUCGGCGCAUCAUCGACCGAUCCUGAUGUUCUCGGAUGGAUUUGAGUAAGAGCAUAUUGGGCCGGACCCGAAAGAAGGUGAACUAUGCCUGUGUAGGGUAAAGCCAGAGGAAACUCUGGUGGAGGCUCGCAGCGGUUCUGACGUGCAAAUCGAUCGUCAAACAUGGGCAUGGGGGCGAAAGACUAAUCGA
Molecule: ribosomal RNA, 830 nt
Filed under: Microascus collaris
Lineage: Eukaryota; Fungi; Ascomycota; Sordariomycetes; Microascales; Microascaceae
Description: partial large subunit ribosomal RNA
Rfam family: Eukaryotic large subunit ribosomal RNA
Source: RNAcentral